GACGAACGCUGGCGGCGUGCUUAACACAUGCAAGUCGAACGGUGAAGCGCCUUCCUUUUUGGUGGGUGUGGAUGAGUGGCGAACGGGUGAGUAACACGUGAGUAACCUGCCCCCUUCUUCUGGAUAACCGCAUGAAAGUGUGGCUAAUACGGGAUAUUCUGGGUCUGUCGCAUGAUGGGUCUGGGAAAGAUAUUGUUUCGGUGGGGGAUGGGCUCGCGGCCUAUCAGCUUGUUGGUGGGGUGAUGGCCUACCAAGGCGGUGACGGGUAGCCGGCCUGAGAGGGUGGACGGUCACACUGGGACUGAGACACGGCCCAGACUCCUACGCGAGGCAGCAGUGGGGAAUAUUGCACAAUGGGCGCAAGCCUGAUGCAGCGACGCCGCGUGAGGGAUGGAGGCCUUCGGGUUGUGAACCUCUUUCGCCAGUGAAGCAGGCCUGCCUCGUUUGUGGGUGGGUUGACGGUAGCUGGAUAAGAAGCGCCGGCUAACUACGUG
Molecule: ribosomal RNA, 494 nt
Filed under: uncultured bacterium
Lineage: Bacteria
Description: partial 16S ribosomal RNA
Rfam family: Bacterial small subunit ribosomal RNA
Source: RNAcentral